GACGAACGCUGGCGGCGUGCCUAACACAUGCAAGUCGAACGGAAAGGCCCUGCUCUUGUGGCGUGCUCGAGUGGCGAACGGGUGUGUAAAACGUGAGUAACAUCUCCCUGACUUUCUGAUAACUUUAGGAGAAUCCGGAUCUAACAGGGUAGGAGCUCCUGCUGCACGGUGGUGGUUGGUAAGAGUCGGCGGUUGGGGAUGGUCUCGCGGGUUAUCAGCUUCUUGGUGGGGUAGUGGCUUACCAAGCCUAUGACGGGUAGCCGGCCUGAGAGGGUGACCGGCCACAUGGGGACUACGAGACGGACCAGUCUGCUACGGGAGGCAGCAGUGGGAAAUAUUGCACAAUGGGCGGAAGCCUGAUGCAGCAACGCCGCGUGCGUGAUGACGGGUUUCGGGUUGUGAACCGCUUUCUCCGGUGACGAAGCGUGAGUGACGGUAAUGGGUAAAGAAGCACCGGCUAACUACGUG
RNAcentral lists this ribosomal RNA (468 nucleotides) under uncultured bacterium. Its description in RNAcentral is "partial 16S ribosomal RNA". It matches the Rfam family "Bacterial small subunit ribosomal RNA", at positions 28 to 507 of the family's 1533-position model. The record is from RNAcentral.